GAAAAAUACUGAGAAAACAAAGGGGCAAAGGGAAAAAAGAAUGAUCAUAGACUAUUCUUCAUUGACGUACUCAAAGUCAGGAAGGCUAUCACCAACAAAUCUAAUUGAGAUGGAAACUUCAGUGUGUUCAGCUAACAUGGGCCUUGUAUCAUACAUAUCUGGUUGCUUCUGGGAUCUCACCCAAUUUAAGGCAUGAGCAAUACUGAAAAAACAAAGGGAUAAGACGAAAGAAGAUUGAAUUAUGGACGGUUCUUUGUUGACCUAGGCAGUCACCAACAGACCUCCUCAAGAUGGAAUUUCACUGUGUUCUGGUGGGUGGAGUGCUUUAUUCAUUCACUUUUUAUUUCUUUGUCAUAUAUUUUUUUGAGUAAUUAUUUGCUAUUUGACCGUUGAGUAUUGUACGUUCUUAAUUUGUCUCACAGUUCGGUAACAAUAAGCAAGCAUUUCUCUGCAUAUUUUCUCCGCA
Asparagus officinalis (garden asparagus) is the source of this 466-nucleotide long non-coding RNA. RefSeq lists it as uncharacterized. Lineage: Eukaryota; Viridiplantae; Streptophyta; Magnoliopsida; Asparagales; Asparagaceae. The record is from RefSeq and is a predicted model, not a curated record. The transcript is spliced from 3 exons.